CCCUUAGAUGUCCGGGGCUGCACGCGCGCUACACUGAAGGAAUCAGCGUGCUAAAACCAUUGUCGAAAGGCAUUGGUAAACCCAUUAAAAUCCUACGUGAUUGGGAUCGGGAAUUGCAAUUAUUUCCCUUGAACGAGGAAUUCCCAGUAAGUGUGGGUCAUAAGCUCGCGUUAAUUACGUCCCUGCCCUUUGUACACACCGCCCGUCGCUGCCCGGGACUGAGCCGUUUCGAGAAAAGCGGGGACUGCUGCUGUCGGGGCUUUCGGGCCUUGGCUUCGGUGGAAACCGCUUUAAUCGCAGUGGCUUGAACCGGGCAAAAGUCGUAACA
Molecule: ribosomal RNA, 328 nt
Filed under: uncultured eukaryote
Lineage: Eukaryota
Description: partial 18S ribosomal RNA
Rfam family: Eukaryotic small subunit ribosomal RNA
Source: RNAcentral